GAUGAUUUGGGGGAAAUCAUUUGCCUUCCCUAAAGGCUUAGUUCCUGCAUCUGUUAAUGGGGCUGUGCAAGGUCACAGAAGCAUGUGCACCCUCGGGCCCUGAGAGCCAGGCACUGGCAGGAAUGGUGUGGAUUGUGAAGGCGUAUGAACUACAGUAUUAUGGGUGGCAACCCAGAGACACCCACAACAGCUACCUCGCAGAAACGCAUCAUAGCUCAUCUUCAGGGCGUGUUUUGUAGACAAUCUUCACGGUCUACCAUUUGGCCUGUAGAGGGCAGCA
Long non-coding RNA from Tupaia belangeri chinensis (Chinese tree shrew), 280 nucleotides. RefSeq lists it as uncharacterized. The transcript is spliced from 3 exons. The record is from RefSeq and is a predicted model, not a curated record. Lineage: Eukaryota; Metazoa; Chordata; Mammalia; Scandentia; Tupaiidae.